GGUCUCUAUACAGGUGGUGCAUGGUUGUCGUCAGCUCGUGUCGUGAGAUGUGGGUUAAGUCCCGCAACGAGCGCAACCUCGUUCUAUGUUGCCAGCACGUAAUGGUGGGGAACUCAUGGGAUACUGCCGGGGUCAACUCGGAGGAAGGUGGGGAUGACGUCAAAUCAUCAUGCCCCUUAUGUCUUGGGCUUCACGCAUGCUACAAUGGCCGGUACAAAGGGCUGCAAUACCGUAAGGUGGAGCGAAUCCCAAAAAGCCGGUCCCAGUUCGGAUUGAGGUCUGCAACUCGACCUCAUGAAGUCGGAGUCGCUAGUAAUCGCAGAUCAGCAACGCUGCGGUGAAUACGUUCCCGGGUCUU
This 358-nucleotide ribosomal RNA is filed under the name uncultured Microbacterium sp. RNAcentral's name for it is "bacterial SSU rRNA". It matches the Rfam family "Bacterial small subunit ribosomal RNA", at positions 1025 to 1382 of the family's 1533-position model. The record is from RNAcentral. Lineage: Bacteria; Bacillati; Actinomycetota; Actinomycetes; Micrococcales; Microbacteriaceae.